RNAcentral lists this ribosomal RNA (1372 nucleotides) under uncultured bacterium. RNAcentral's name for it is "bacterial SSU rRNA". It matches the Rfam family "Bacterial small subunit ribosomal RNA", at positions 28 to 1381 of the family's 1533-position model. The record is from RNAcentral.
GAUGAACGCUGGCGGCGUGCCUAAUACAUGCAAGUCGAGCGAACGGACGAGAAGCUUGCUUCUCUGAUGUUAGCGGCGGACGGGUGAGUAACACGUGGAUAACCUACCUAUAAGACUGGGAUAACUUCGGGAAACCGGAGCUAAUACCGGAUGAUAUUUUGAACCGCAUGGUUCAAAAGUGAAAGACGGUCUUGCUGUCACUUAUAGAUGGAUCCGCGCUGCAUUAGCUAGUUGGUAAGGUAACGGCUUACCAAGGCAACGAUGCAUAGCCGACCUGAGAGGGUGAUCGGCCACACUGGAACUGAGACACGGUCCAGACUCCUACGGGAGGCAGCAGUAGGGAAUCUUCCGCAAUGGGCGAAGGCCUGACGGAGCAACGCCGCGUGAGUGAUGAAGGUCUUCGGAUCGUAAAACUCUGUUAUUAGGGAAGAACAUAUGUGUAAGUAACUGUGCACAUCUUGACGGUACCUAAUCAGAAAGCCACGGCUAACUACGUGCCAGCAGCCGCGGUAAUACGUAGGUGGCAAGCGUUAUCCGGAAUUAUUGGGCGUAAAGCGCGCGUAGGCGGUUUUUUAAGUCUGAUGUGAAAGCCCACGGCUCAACCGUGGAGGGUCAUUGGAAACUGGAAAACUUGAGUGCAGAAGAGGAAAGUGGAAUUCCAUGUGUAGCGGUGAAAUGCGCAGAGAUAUGGAGGAACACCAGUGGCGAAGGCGACUUUCUGGUCUGUAACUGACGCUGAUGUGCGAAAGCGUGGGGAUCAAACAGGAUUAGAUACCCUGGUAGUCCACGCCGUAAACGAUGAGUGCUAAGUGUUAGGGGGUUUCCGCCCCUUAGUGCUGCAGCUAACGCAUUAAGCACUCCGCCUGGGGAGUACGACCGCAAGGUUGAAACUCAAAGGAAUUGACGGGGACCCGCACAAGCGGUGGAGCAUGUGGUUUAAUUCGAAGCAACGCGAAGAACCUUACCAAAUCUUGACAUCCUUUGACAACUCUAGAGAUAGAGCCUUCCCCUUCGGGGGACAAAGUGACAGGUGGUGCAUGGUUGUCGUCAGCUCGUGUCGUGAGAUGUUGGGUUAAGUCCCGCAACGAGCGCAACCCUUAAGCUUAGUUGCCAUCAUUAAGUUGGGCACUCUAAGUUGACUGCCGGUGACAAACCGGAGGAAGGUGGGGAUGACGUCAAAUCAUCAUGCCCCUUAUGAUUUGGGCUACACACGUGCUACAAUGGACAAUACAAAGGGCAGCGAAACCGCGAGGUCAAGCAAAUCCCAUAAAGUUGUUCUCAGUUCGGAUUGUAGUCUGCAACUCGACUACAUGAAGCUGGAAUCGCUAGUAAUCGUAGAUCAGCAUGCUACGGUGAAUACGUUCCCGGGUCU